GCUGGAGUUGAAUAGGUCUGCUCUUUGAGUGUGUACCUUGUUUCGACUUCGCAUCCUCUUAGAAUGUUAUUAAAGUACUUUAUUGUGCUUUAUAUAAUAUCUAAGAUCUUUACUUUGAGAAAAUUAGAGUGUUUCAAGCAGGCAUAUUGCCUUGAAUACUUUAGCAUGGAAUAAUAAAAUAGGAUUUUGGUUCUAUUUUAUUGGUUUAUAGAACUAAAGUA
This 221-nucleotide ribosomal RNA is filed under the name uncultured fungus. RNAcentral's name for it is "partial small subunit ribosomal RNA". The stretch from base 101 to 221 matches the Rfam family "Eukaryotic small subunit ribosomal RNA", at positions 743 to 864 of the family's 1831-position model. Lineage: Eukaryota; Fungi. The record is from RNAcentral.